This 253-nucleotide ribosomal RNA is filed under the name uncultured bacterium. Its description in RNAcentral is "partial 16S ribosomal RNA". It matches the Rfam family "Bacterial small subunit ribosomal RNA", at positions 524 to 776 of the family's 1533-position model. The record is from RNAcentral.
UACGUAGGGGGCAAGCGUUGUCCGGAUUUAUUGGGCGUAAAGAGCGUGUAGGCGGCCGUACAGGUCAGCUGUGAAAACUCGAGGCUCAACCUCGAGACGUCGGUUGAAACCGUACGGCUAGAGUGCGGAAGAGGAGAGUGGAAUUCCCGGUGUAGCAGUGAAAUGCGUAGAGAUCGGGAGGAACACCAGUGGCGAAGGCGGCCUUCUGGACCAAUACUGACGCUCAUGCACGAAAGCGUGGGGAGCAAACAGG